RNAcentral lists this ribosomal RNA (1436 nucleotides) under metagenome. RNAcentral describes it as "bacterial LSU rRNA". It matches the Rfam family "Bacterial large subunit ribosomal RNA", at positions 1453 to 2925 of the family's 2925-position model. The record is from RNAcentral.
ACAGAACUGUGGGGACGCAGAAGGAGAGCACUACCUGGAAUGGAAUCCAGGGGCAAGCACAGGAGGGGUACGGCUGGAAAAACCGCCGUGCAACCCAAAGGUGUGACGCAUACCGAACUAAAGUAGGGAAAUGUGUGAGCCGGCUGCCGAGAAAAGCCGCUAUUGUUUGUACUGUACCCGUACCGUAAACCGACACAGGUGGAUGAGGAGAGAAUCCUAAGGCCGACGGAAGAAGCAUUGCUAAGGAACUCGGCAAAAUGACCCUGUAACUUCGGGAGAAAGGGUGCCUCGAAAGAGGCCGCAGAGAAUAGGCCCAAGCAACUGUUUAGCAAAAACACAGGUCUAUGCAAAACCGCAAGGUGAAGUAUAUGGGCUGACGCCUGCCCGGUGCUGGAAGGUUAAGGGGAGAUGUCAGGAGACGAAGCAUCGAACUUAAGCCCCAGUAAACGGCGGCCGUAACUAUAACGGUCCUAAGGUAGCGAAAUUCCUUGUCGGGUAAGUUCCGACCCGCACGAAAGGCGUAAUGAUUUGGGCGCUGUCUCGGCAAUGCAUCCGGUGAAAUUGAAGUGCCAGUGAAGAUGCUGGCUACCCGCGCCAGGACGGAAAGACCCCAUGGAGCUUUACUCCAGCUUGAUACUGGGAUUCGGUAUUGUAUGUACAGGAUAGGUGGGAGGCUGAGAAAUGGUGACGCCAGUCGCCAUGGAGCCGCUGUUGGGAUACCACCCUUGCAGUACUGGAUUUCUAACCAGCAGCCGUGAUCCGGCUGGGGGACAAUGUCAGGUGGGGAGUUUGACUGGGGCGGUCGCCUCCGAAAGGGUAUCGGAGGCGCUCAAAGGUUCCCUCAGAAUGGUCGGAAACCAUUCGAAGAGUGCAAAGGCAGAAGGGAGCUUGACUGCGACACCGACGGGUGGGGCAGGUACGAAAGUAGGACUUAGUGAUCCGGUGGUAUUAAGUGGGAAUGCCAUCGCUCAACGGAUAAAAGCUACCCUGGGAUAACAGGCUUAUCACUCCCAAGAGUUCACAUCGACGGAGUGGUUUGGCACCGAUGUCGGCUCAUCGCAUCCUGGGGCUGUAGUAGGUCCCAAGGGUUGGGCUGUUCGCCCAUUAAAGCGGUACGCGAGCUGGGUUCAGAACGUCGUGAGACAGUUCGGUCCCUAUCCGGCGUGGGCGUAGGAUAUUUGAGAGGAGCUGACCUUAGUACGAGAGGACCGGGUUGGACUGACCUCUGGUGCACGGGUUGUCAUGCCAAUGGCACAGCCGGGUAGCCAAGUCGGGAAGGGAUAAACGCUGAAGGCAUCUAAGCGUGAAGCCCCCCUCAAGAUGAGAUAUCCCCCGCAUAAGCGGUAAGACCCCUUGAAGACGACGAGGUAGAUAGGGCAGAGGUGGAAGUGCAGUAAUGUAUGGAGCUGACUGCUACUAAUAGGUCGAAGGCCUAA